UGGCUACUGUGCCAGCUGGUGAAUGGCUCGGCUCGAGAGCCGACGACGGACGUGCCAAGCUGCGAAAAGCUCGUGGGACCCGCAUGGAGGGAAAGAACACGAGAUCUCCCAAUCGGAAUCCGUUCAACAAUUGCCACGCGCAAUAGGGAACGCCCUGAAUUGAAACAUCUCAGUAAGGGCAGGAAAAGAACGCAACAGCGAUGUCGUCAGUAACCGCGAGUAAACGCGACACAGCCCAAACCGAAGGUCUUCGGACCAAUGUGGUGUUCGGGUUGACAAUCAAAACGCGACACUCUCUCAGAAGUCUCCUGGAACGGAGCGUGAAACAGGGUGACAACCCCGUAUGAGAGAACAGUACCGUUGGCGUCAAAUCCAGAGUAGCAGGGGGCGGAUAUCCUCUGUGAACAUCUCAGGCAUCCCCUGAGAAGGCUAAACACUCCUCGAGACCGAUAGCGAACAAGUAGCGUGAGCGAACGCUGAAAAGCCCCCCGAGAAGGGCGGUGCAAUAGGGCCUGAAAUCAGCUGGCGAUCGAGCGACAGGGCGUACAAGGCGAUUCUCAAAACGACCGAGGAGCGAUCCUCCAGUAGGAAGAGAAUCGAGCCGGCGUCGUGUCGUGCGUUUUGAAAAACGACCCAGGGAGUGCACUUGAUUGGCGAGUCUAACCCGUGAACCGGGGAAGGCGCAGGGAAACCGAUACGGCCGCAGCAUUGCGAGGGCCACCGUGUUCAAGCGCGGGGAGUCAAUUGGGUGCGACCCGAAACCAGGCGAUCUACGCGCGAGCAAGGUGAAGCGUGGCGAAAGCCACGUGGAGGCCUGUUAGAGUUGGUGUUCUACAAUACCCUCUCGUGACUCGUGUGUAGGGGUGAAAGGCCCAUCGAGCCUGGCAACAGCUGGUUCCAACCGAAACAUGUCGAAGCAUGACCUCAUCAGAGGUAGCCCGCGGGGUAGAGCUACCGAUUGGAUGACCCGCCUCCGAGAGGAGUCGGCCAUCCUGUCGAACUCCAAACCCGCAGGCGCCGUAGACGAUGGGAGUCCGGUGCGCGGGGUAAGCCUGNCCCGCCUCCGAGAGGAGUCGGCCAUCCUGUCGAACUCCAAACCCGCAGGCGCCGUAGACGAUGGGAGUCCGGUGCGCGGGGUAAGCCUGUGUACCGUGAGGGGAACAACCCAGAGCCGGGUUAAGGUCCCAAAGUGUAGAUUAAGUGCGAUUCGAAGGUGGUCUCAAGCCCUAAACAGCCGGGAGGUGAGCUUAGAAGCAGCUACCCGCUAAGAAAAGCGUAACAGCUUACCGGCCGAGGUUUGAGGCGCCCAAAAUGAUCGGGGCUCAAAUCUACCACCGAGACCUGGCCGUGCCCUUGACAGGGGCAACCGCGUAGGUUGGCGUACUGGUCGGACGGAAGCCCGGGCGAGAGCUCGUGUGGACCGUCCAGUAACGACAAUCCUGGUCACAGUAGCAGCGAUAGUCGGGUGAGAACCUCGACGGCCUGAAGAGCAAGGGUUCCUCGGCCCUGCCGUUCAGCCGAGGGUUAGCCGGUCCUAAGGUGUACCACAACCUGACUACACCGACGGGAAGCUGGUUAAUAUUCCAGCGCCAUCGUGCAGUAAACGCCGACGCCGUGUGGAACGCUGAGCCGGGCAUUCGCCCGGUCGAAUCGUGGAACCUCGUGGACGCCGUCACGGCACGAAGCGAGAGAAGCGCGAAACAGCGAAAGUCAGCCGUACACAGGGCCCGUGAAAAGGCAAGCACGAUGUCCGUACCGAGAUCCGACACAGGUGCUCUGCCAGCGCAAGGCAAGGCCUGUCGGGAGAACCGACGUUAGGGAAUUCGGCAAGUUAGUCCCGUACCUUCGGAAGAAGGGAUGCCUGCUCUCUGAGGAGCAGGUCGCAGUGACUCGGGCGCUCCGACUGUCUAGUAACAACACAGGUGACCGCAAAUCCGCAAGGACUCGUACGGUCACUGAAUCCUGCCCAGUGCGGGUAUCUGAACACCUCGUACAAGAGGACGAAGGACCCGUCAACGGCGGGGGGAACUAUGACCCUCUUAAGGUAGCGUAGUACCUUGCCGCUUCAGUAGCGGCUUGCAUGAAUGGAUAAACGAGAGCGCCACUGUCCCAACGUUGGACCCGGUGAACUGUACGUUCCAGUGCGGAGUCUGGAGACCCCCAAGGGGAAGCGAAGACCCUAUAGAGCUUUACUGCAGGCUGUCGCUGAGACGUGGUCGCCGAUGUGCAGCAUAGGUAGGAGACGCUACACAGGUACGUGCGCUAGCACGCCACCGAGUCAACACUGAAAUACUACCCGUCGGUGACUGCGACUCUCACUCCGGGAGGAGUACACCGGUAGCCGGGCAGUUUGACUGGGGCGGUACGCGCUCGAAAAGAUAUCGAGCGCGCCCGAAGAUCAUCUCAGCCGGGUCAGGAAUCCGGCGAAGAGCGCAAGAGCAAAAGAUGGUCUGACAGUGUUCUUCCCAACGAGGAACGCUGACGCGAAAGCGUGGUCUAGCGAACCUACGAGGUUCCGGAAUGGGACCCGUAGAUGACAGAAAAGCUACCUUAGGGAUAACAGAGUCGUCACUCGCAAGAGCACAUAUCGACCGAGUGGCUUGCUACCUCGAUGUCGGUUCCCUCCAUCCUGCCCGUGCAGACGCGGGCAAGGGNGAGGUUGUUCGCCUAUUAAAGGAGGUCGUGAGCUGGGUUUAGACCGUCGUGAGACAGGUCGGCUGCUAUCUAUUGGGGGUGUGAGGUACCUGACGUGAACGAACGUAUAGUACGAGAGGAACUACGUUUGGUCGCCACUGGUGUAUCGGUUGUCCGGAAGGGCAGAUGCCGAGUAGCCACGCGACACGGGGUAAGAGCUGAACGCAUCUAAGCUCGAAACCCACAUGGAAAAGAGGUACCGUUGAGGUCACUCGUAGAAGACGAGUUCGAUAGACUCGGGGUGUACGCACCGAGGCAACGAGGUGUUAAGCCCACGAGAACUAACAGACCAA
Molecule: ribosomal RNA, 2987 nt
Filed under: Halorubrum californiense DSM 19288
Lineage: Archaea; Methanobacteriati; Methanobacteriota; Halobacteria; Halobacteriales; Haloferacaceae
Description: bacterial LSU rRNA
Rfam family: Archaeal large subunit ribosomal RNA
Source: RNAcentral